This 1200-nucleotide ribosomal RNA is filed under the name Triticum aestivum (bread wheat). RNAcentral describes it as "partial small subunit ribosomal RNA". The record is from RNAcentral. Lineage: Eukaryota; Viridiplantae; Streptophyta; Magnoliopsida; Poales; Poaceae.
AUGCCGAGACGGAACCACGCGACCCCAUGCUUGCUUCAGGUGGCGACUAUGUGCCCGUGGGGGCCGCGUCUACGCGGGCCGGAAGGCGUCGUGCCUGCCACUCACCAGGGAGGUCGCCGUAGAGGCGGCCGGCAGGGGAACCAACUUCAUCGUCUCGCGGCUGUCCAUCCACGCGGCGCUCGCGCUGGUGGCCGCCGGCACGCGGGGCGAGACGUGUGGCGAGCUCCUGGCGUUCCUCGGGUCGGCGUCGCUCGACGAGUUGCACGGCGCGCCGGCCACAGAGCUGGCGCGCAAGCUCAGCGGCCUGGCGCAGACGUCCUUCGCCUGCGGCGUGUGGGUCGACCGGAGGCAGGCGCAGGAGCCGGAGUUCGUGGCCACUGCCGCGUCAAGCUACGGCGGCACGGCGCCACCGCGGAACCCGUGGAUUUCGUCCAGGGCGCCGAGCAGGCGAGGCGGCGAGUGAACGCCUUCGUGGAGGGCGCGACCAGCAUGCGCAUCCGCGACAUCCUCCCUCCAGGAUCGGUCGGCUCGUCCACGGUCGUCGUCCUCGCCAACGCGCUCUACUUCAAGGGGGCGUGGUUCCAGCCAUUCGACCAGUCGGUGACCACCGUGCGCGUGCCGUUCAUGACGACGGGCCGGUUCGAGUUCAAGCAGCACAUCGCCGUCUACCCGGGCUUCAGGGCCCUCAAGCUGCCCUACCACAACGACGGCGACCACGCCGCCGCCGCAUUCUACAUGCUUCUCCUUCUCCCAGACGACGGCAGCGACCUCAGCCUCGCCGGUCUCUACGACAAGGCGGCCGCAGCGCCGGAGUUCAUCAGGAGCCACGCGCCGGCGGAGCAGGUCCCGGUGGGGCGGUUCAUGGUCCCCAAGUUCAAGUUCACGUUCGAGUUCGAGGCGUCGGCGGACAUGCGGAAGCUGGGAGUCACCAGGGCUUUCCAGGGCGGCGACUUCUCCGGCAUGGUGAGCGGCGGGAACGGGCUCUCCAUCUCGGGGGUGUACCACAAGGCCACCAUCGAGGUGGACGAGCUGGGCACCGUGGCCGCCGCAGCGACGGCCGUGUCCAUCCCGCUGAGCUUGAGCGCACCACGGCCUCCGGUGGACUUCGUGGCGGAUCGGCCGUUCCUAUUCGCCAUUGCCGAGGAGAAAACCGGCGGGGUGCUGUUCCUUGGCCAUGUGGUCAAUCCUCUCGCUGGCUAG